This 497-nucleotide ribosomal RNA is filed under the name uncultured bacterium. RNAcentral describes it as "partial 16S ribosomal RNA". It matches the Rfam family "Bacterial small subunit ribosomal RNA", at positions 28 to 507 of the family's 1533-position model. The record is from RNAcentral.
GAUGAACGCUGGCGGCGUGCCUAAUACAUGCAAGUCGAGCGAACAGACGAGGAGCUUGCUCCUCUGAUGUUAGCGGCGGACGGGUGAGUAACACGUGGAUAACCUACCUAUAAGACUGGGAUAACUUCGGGAAACCGGAGCUAAUACUGGAUAACAUGUUGAACCGCAUGGUUCAACAGUGAAAGACGGUCUUGCUGUCACUUAUAGAUGGAUCCGCGCCGCAUUAGCCAGUUGGUAAGGUAACGGCUUACCAAGGCAACGAUGCGUAGCCGACCUGAGAGGGUGAUCGGCCACACUGGAACUGAGACACGGUCCAGACUCCUACGGGAGGCAGCAGUAGGGAAUCUUCCGCAAUGGGCGAAAGCCUGACGGAGCAACGCCGCGUGAGUGAAGAAGGUCUUCGGAUCGUAAAACUCUGUUAUUAGGGAAGAACAAAUGUGUAAGUAACUAUGCACGUCUUGACGGUACCUAAUCAGAAAGCUACGGCUAACUACGUG